CGAAAGCCUGACGGAGCAACGCCGCGUGAGGGAGGAAGGUCUUUGGAUUGUAAACCUCUUUUCUCUAGGAAGAUGAUGACGGUACUAGAGGAAUCAGCAUCGGCUAACUCCGUGCCAGCAGCCGCGGUAAUACGGGGGAUGCAAGCGUUAUCCGGAAUUAUUGGGCGUAAAGCGUCCGUAGGCGGCCGAGCAAGUCUGCUGUUAAAGCGUGCAGCUCAACUGCAUAAGGGCAGUGGAAACUGUUUGGCUAGAGUGUGGUAGGGGUAGAGGGAAUUCCCGGUGUAGCGGUGAAAUGCGUAGAUAUCGGGAAGAACACCAGUGGCGAAAGCGCUCUACUGGGCCACAACUGACGCUGAUGGACGAAAGCUAGGGGAGCG
RNAcentral lists this ribosomal RNA (377 nucleotides) under uncultured cyanobacterium. Its description in RNAcentral is "bacterial SSU rRNA". It matches the Rfam family "Bacterial small subunit ribosomal RNA", at positions 376 to 770 of the family's 1533-position model. Lineage: Bacteria; Bacillati; Cyanobacteriota. The record is from RNAcentral.